UUAUUCUUAAAUGGUUAAAAAUUCAGCAAUAUGAAUCUGAUGACUCUGAUGAGAAAGACUUUGGCAGGGUUGUUUAUAAAUUGUGAAAUAGGCAGAACUAGCUAGUCAAUUAUCUUAUUCAAUAUUUCUGCACAACCCUUUUUUUGGUGAAUUAUUCUGCACCUACACCCCUUGGUGAAGAAUUAUAAUUAAGUUUGCAGGCCUUCUAAUUAACAUGGAGCCACAGUGUGCAAUCAAGAAAGAUGCCACUGAAGUAAUAUAUUUUGUCAUAAUAACAUUUUAUUUUGCUGAAAAAUGCAAAAAGGAAAUAUACGGACAAUUGUUAGUGCUAGUUGCUUAAUUUAUUAUUAUAAGUAGUAGAAAUACAAUCGGUGCUCACUUCUCUCACUCAA
This is a long non-coding RNA of Glycine soja, 392 nucleotides long. RefSeq lists it as uncharacterized. NCBI's taxonomy places the organism in Eukaryota, Viridiplantae, Streptophyta, Magnoliopsida, Fabales, Fabaceae. The record is from RefSeq and is a predicted model, not a curated record. The transcript has 2 exons.